Molecule: transfer RNA, 78 nt
Filed under: Phycicoccus sp. DTK01
Lineage: Bacteria; Bacillati; Actinomycetota; Actinomycetes; Micrococcales; Intrasporangiaceae
Description: tRNA-Val
Source: RNAcentral
GGCGGUCGAGCGGCCGGCGCCGCUCAUCCCGCUGACGACGAGGAAGUCCGCCCGUCCGUUCGACCCCGACGACGGUGC